AAUGAAAAAAAAUCUGCAGUUCUCAAACCAGCACCUAGACCUGAAUACUUUUGUAAUUGCAUUUAAUUACAAAUUUAGUAUAGCCUCCGAGUUAUUUACUAAAAUGUAUCUGUAUAGCACCACCAGCUGUGUGUUCUUUUUCUUAUUUCUCUUCCAAUUUUGAGGUCCCUGAACCCAAAU
Long non-coding RNA from Bufo bufo (common toad), 180 nucleotides. RefSeq lists it as uncharacterized. The record is from RefSeq and is a predicted model, not a curated record. Lineage: Eukaryota; Metazoa; Chordata; Amphibia; Anura; Bufonidae. The transcript is spliced from 4 exons.